GUCCUAUUAGCUCAGUGGAUAGAGCGUCUGACUUCUAAUCAGGACGUCGUGGGUUCGACCCCCUCAUAGGACA
Molecule: transfer RNA, 73 nt
Filed under: Monoraphidium minutum
Lineage: Eukaryota; Viridiplantae; Chlorophyta; Chlorophyceae; Sphaeropleales; Selenastraceae
Description: tRNA-Arg
Rfam family: tRNA
About the family: Transfer RNA (tRNA) molecules are approximately 80 nucleotides in length.
Source: RNAcentral